RNAcentral lists this unclassified non-coding RNA (168 nucleotides) under Emericellopsis tubakii. RNAcentral's name for it is "Acremonium tubakii partial internal transcribed spacer 2". Lineage: Eukaryota; Fungi; Ascomycota; Sordariomycetes; Hypocreales; Bionectriaceae. RNAcentral also lists the same sequence under 1 other name. The record is from RNAcentral.
CAACCCUCAGCCCCCGUCCGCGGGGCGCUGGCGUUGGGGAUCGGCCGUCCUUGCGGCGGCCGGCCCCGAAACACAGUGGCGGUCUCCCGUAGACUCCCCUGCGUAGUAACACUACCUCGCAGAAGGGACGAGCGGGCUGGCCACGCCGUAAAACCCCCCACUUCUCAA